UGGGGAAUUUUGCGCAAUGGGCGAAAGCCUGACGCAGCAACGCCGCGUGGAGGAUGAAGGUCUUUGGAUUGUAAACUCCUGUCAGCAGGGAAAAAGGCACCUGGCCACACCAGGUGAUUGAUUGUACCUGCAGAGGAAGCCCCGGCUAACUCUGUGCCAGCAGCCGCGGUAAUACAGAGGGGGCGAGCGUUAUUCGGAAUUAUUGGGCGUAAAGGGCGCGUAGGCGGCGAGGCAAGUGGAAGGUGAAAUCCCCGGGCUCAACCUGGGAACUGCCCUCCAAACUGCUUUGCUUGAGUCCGGGAGAGGUGAGUGGAAUUCCCAGUGUAGCGGUGAAAUGCGUAGAUAUUGGGAGGAACACCAGUGGCGAAGGCGGCUCACUGGACCGGAACUGACGCUGAGGCGCGAAAGCGUGGGGAGCAAACAG
RNAcentral lists this ribosomal RNA (424 nucleotides) under uncultured bacterium. RNAcentral describes it as "bacterial SSU rRNA". It matches the Rfam family "Bacterial small subunit ribosomal RNA", at positions 355 to 775 of the family's 1533-position model. The record is from RNAcentral.